Brachypodium distachyon (stiff brome) is the source of this 99-nucleotide non-coding RNA. The record is from Rfam. NCBI's taxonomy places the organism in Eukaryota, Viridiplantae, Streptophyta, Magnoliopsida, Poales, Poaceae.
CUAGCAAAUGAUGUCAAGCAAGACAGGGACUCUGCAGCGCUCCCGAUUUUAAACGGGGGCGUGAAUGAUGCAUCCGUCUAGGGGAAUCUCUAAUGCUAU